Molecule: ribosomal RNA, 216 nt
Filed under: Glomeromycotina sp.
Lineage: Eukaryota; Fungi; Glomeromycota
Description: partial small subunit ribosomal RNA
Rfam family: Eukaryotic small subunit ribosomal RNA (bases 44-216)
Source: RNAcentral
GGGUCAGUAGGUUGGUCGUGCCACCGGUACGUACUGGUCCCACUGAUUCCUCCUUCCUGAAGAACCGUAAUGCCAUUAAUUUGGUGUUGCGGGGAAACAGGACUGUUACUUUGAAAAAAUUAGAGUGUUUAGAGCAAGCUAACGCUUGAAUACAUUAGCAUGGAAUAAUGAAAUAGGACGAUCGAUCCUAUUUUGUUGGUUUCUAGGAUUGACGUA